UUUCAUAUAGUUCAUUAUCUUUUACUUUCUUUUGCUUGCUUCACAGAUGGAGUUUAUAAUGUCUACAAAAAAUUUUCCAUCUGGAUUAGAUCAACCUCAAAUGGAAGUUGAAGAAGAAGUAUACACUCCAGUGUAUCCACUGGGAUCAUCAGGAUAGGAAGACUUUUCCAAAAACAACACGAGUUUGGUUUCCUAAAUUGGACAACAGGGAGAGCCAGUACAGCUUCAGCCAGCUCAGUUAUGGGAAGCUAUUGUGGCCUUUUAACUACCGUAUCAGACAAACUCCAAUUCCAGUAAUAAACUAGGUGCUGGAUUCACUCUACAUCCAUGGAAAAUUUUCAUUUUAAGAAACGGUGUUUGGAAUACUCUGCUGGCACUUCAAACUCCACGGCUGAGUUUAUCAAAUGAGAGGCACAGGAGAUUGCAGAAUGUGAAAGAAUUGAGUGGGAGAGAAAAGAGAAUACAACAAAUGUUAAGUAUUAAAAAGGGGAUAUUCUUUUUAUUAUUUUUAUUUUUUCAUUUUUAAAGUUUUAUUGAAGUAUAGUUGAUUUAUAAGUUUGUCAUCAUUUCUGCUCUGCAACAAAUUUAUUGUUAUACAUGUACAUACAUCCAUUCUCUUUCACUUGUUUUCCCUCAUAGAUUGUCACAGAAUAUUGGG
Molecule: long non-coding RNA, 658 nt
Filed under: Sus scrofa (pig)
Lineage: Eukaryota; Metazoa; Chordata; Mammalia; Artiodactyla; Suidae
Description: lncRNA (ENSSSCG00025036835.1)
Source: RNAcentral